AGUCGAGGGGUAUAGGCUUUCGGGCCUAGAGACCGGCGCACGGGUGCGUAACGCGUAUGCAAUCUACCUUUCACAGAGGGAUAGCCCAGAGAAAUUUGGAUUAAUACCUCAUGGUAUAUAGGAGUGGCAUCACUUUUAUAUUAAAGUCACAACGGUGAAAGAUGAGCAUGCGUCCCAUUAGCUAGUUGGUAAGGUAACGGCUUACCAAGGCGACGAUGGGUAGGGGUCCUGAGAGGGAGAUCCCCCACACUGGUACUGAGACACGGACCAGACUCCUACGGGAGGCAGCAGUGAGGAAUAUUGGUCAAUGGGCGCAAGCCUGAACCAGCCAUGCCGCGUGCAGGAUGAAGCAUCUAUGGUGUGUAAACUGCUUUUGUACGGGAAGAAACAGAGGUUCGUGAACCUCCUUGACGGUACCGUAAGAAUAAGGAUCGGCUAACUCCGUGCCAGCAGCCGCGGUAAUACGGAGGAUCCAAGCGUUAUCCGGAAUCAUUGGGUUUAAAGGGUCCGUAGGCGGUUUAGUAAGUCAGUGGUGAAAGCCCAUCGCUCAACGGUGGAACGGCCAUUGAUACUGCUAGACUUGAAUUAUUAGGAAGUAACUAGAAUAUGUAGUGUAGCGGUGAAAUGCUUAGAUAUUACAUGGAAUACCAAUUGCGAAGGCAGGUUACUACUAAUGGAUUGACGCUGAUGGACGAAAGCGUGGGUAGCGAACAGGAUUAGAUACCCUGGUAGUCCACGCCGUAAACGAUGGAUACUAGCUGUUCGGAGCAAUCUGAGUGGCUAAGCGAA
This 789-nucleotide ribosomal RNA is filed under the name uncultured Bacteroidota bacterium. RNAcentral describes it as "bacterial SSU rRNA". It matches the Rfam family "Bacterial small subunit ribosomal RNA", at positions 60 to 855 of the family's 1533-position model. Lineage: Bacteria; Pseudomonadati; Bacteroidota. The record is from RNAcentral.